This 2214-nucleotide long non-coding RNA is filed under the name Jatropha curcas. Its description in RNAcentral is "long non-coding RNA (JCUR_LNC002731)". The record is from RNAcentral. Lineage: Eukaryota; Viridiplantae; Streptophyta; Magnoliopsida; Malpighiales; Euphorbiaceae.
AAAAAUUAUCUUUGGGGGUUGAGUUGCAUCUGCCAUGCCCUCGCCAAAAAAAGAAGGGAGGUGUGGGGUAAGGAAAAUUGAAGUUGCAACUAUAACACUAGAAAACCUGUUAUGCAGCUCAGUCAUUAUACCUCAGAACGGCAUUGAUUAAUGUAACAUCCAGAGAAAAUUUAAGAUCCUUCCUCCAUUCAAUUAUCUGAAAUUGACAACACAAAUUUAAUCUUUUUCCCUUUGAAACAUUAUGGGACAAUUUUUUAGACUUCUCCCAAAAUGCAAAAGAUGUAUUUGCAGGACCACUUUUUAACAAUCAUCACCAAGUUGCUACCUGCUCUCAUGGUAACGAAGCUACAGCAUACUGAAACUCUAUCAGAGAGAGUUUUACUGUGAUGUACCAAUUAAUGCAGGGGAAGUUGGAGAGCUCAACAGAGUUUCAUAUGUAGAGCUAGCAUGCGCCCCAAGAUACAACCAUCACAUCUAAAGCUACAAUACAAACCCAUAUAAGGUUUUUCCACAUCCAUGAAUCUAAUCGAAAAGUUGAAGACUCAAGUACAUAGGACUCUAUAAACAAAAAGGCUAAGUAACUACAUUGAUUAAGAGUACACUGGAAUUAAAGACAACUUAAAUGCUGCUGUACAAUUCAAUCUCUGUCAGUAGGAAAAGGGUAAUCAAGACAAAAACAAAGCAGAGGAAUAGAUAGAAUUCUAUGAUUUAGAGAAUCCUAGCUUUCAAAGAAGCAUGAUAGUUCUUACCUGCUGCACUGCUGGCAAAACCGUUGCUCCUGACCUUUAAUAAAAACCUUAGGGGUUUUAGAGUGGAGCUCGCAUACUUUAUGUCUUCGAUGAUAAUCCCUGCAUUUGCUAAGGUCUGCAAUGCACCCAUCCACCAAGCAUGAAGGGACUUGAUUUCCAUUGCUAGGUGUUCAAUAGGGAUUAAGAAAUAACUACUGAAUUAAAAUUUCUUGAAGUUGGGAAUCGAACCUUCGUGAUUGGAAAAUAACCUUGCAGAAUUUACAGAAACUGAGUCGGGCUGCGGCUUCCUUCGGCGCCGGUUAUGUCCAUCAAGACGUUUCCUGCAGCUUCGUUUUCCUUCAUCAAACUCCACCAAGGAAUGAAACCUAUAAUAGUGACAUUGAAAGCAAUCAACAUUUUCCAAAAUUUAUAUAUUCACAGUUGAAUAAAAAAUUAUCUUUGGGGGUUGAGUUGCAUCUGCCAUGCCCUCGCCAAAAAAAGAAGGGAGGUGUGGGGUAAGGAAAAUUGAAGUUGCAACUAUAACACUAGAAAACCUGUUAUGCAGCUCAGUCAUUAUACCUCAGAACGGCAUUGAUUAAUGUAACAUCCAGAGAAAAUUUAAGAUCCUUCCUCCAUUCAAUUAUCUGAAAUUGACAACACAAAUUUAAUCUUUUUCCCUUUGAAACAUUAUGGGACAAUUUUUUAGACUUCUCCCAAAAUGCAAAAGAUGUAUUUGCAGGACCACUUUUUAACAAUCAUCACCAAGUUGCUACCUGCUCUCAUGGUAACGAAGCUACAGCAUACUGAAACUCUAUCAGAGAGAGUUUUACUGUGAUGUACCAAUUAAUGCAGGGGAAGUUGGAGAGCUCAACAGAGUUUCAUAUGUAGAGCUAGCAUGCGCCCCAAGAUACAACCAUCACAUCUAAAGCUACAAUACAAACCCAUAUAAGGUUUUUCCACAUCCAUGAAUCUAAUCGAAAAGUUGAAGACUCAAGUACAUAGGACUCUAUAAACAAAAAGGCUAAGUAACUACAUUGAUUAAGAGUACACUGGAAUUAAAGACAACUUAAAUGCUGCUGUACAAUUCAAUCUCUGUCAGUAGGAAAAGGGUAAUCAAGACAAAAACAAAGCAGAGGAAUAGAUAGAAUUCUAUGAUUUAGAGAAUCCUAGCUUUCAAAGAAGCAUGAUAGUUCUUACCUGCUGCACUGCUGGCAAAACCGUUGCUCCUGACCUUUAAUAAAAACCUUAGGGGUUUUAGAGUGGAGCUCGCAUACUUUAUGUCUUCGAUGAUAAUCCCUGCAUUUGCUAAGGUCUGCAAUGCACCCAUCCACCAAGCAUGAAGGGACUUGAUUUCCAUUGCUAGGUGUUCGAACUCGUUUUGAUGAUCCAGAUGAUGAUGACUCCAUUAAAUAGUCCCCUGGACCUGCAAAUUUCUCCACCAACUUAUCCUGCAAAAGACCUGAAUUCCCAAGUUUCAGGUCCACAG